GGGGGGAGCGAGCGUUGUUCGGAAUCACUGGGCGUAAAGGGCGUGUAGGCGGUUCGGGUAAGUGAGAUGUGAAAGCCCCCCGGGCUCACCCCGGGGAGGUGCAUUUCAUACUGCCAGACUUGAGUGCGGAAGAGGAUGGGGGAAUUCCUGGUGUAGCGGUGAAAUGCGUAGAUAUCAGGAGGAACACCGGUGGCGAAGGCGCCCAUCUGGUCCGUUACUGACGCUGAUGCGCGAAAGCUAGGGGAGCGAACGGGAUUAGAUACCCCGGUAGUCCUAGCCGUAAACGGUGGGCACUAGGUGUUGGAGGCAUCGACCCUUCCAGUGCCGCAGCUAACGCAUUAAGUGCCCCGCCUGGGGAGUACGGUCGCAAAGACUG
Molecule: ribosomal RNA, 376 nt
Filed under: uncultured organism
Description: partial 16S ribosomal RNA
Rfam family: Bacterial small subunit ribosomal RNA
Source: RNAcentral